UUUUUCCAAAAGAAAAUGAUGAUCAAAAUCAUGCUACAGAUAUAUCACAAGAACACCAAGUUUAAAAAGCCUAUAAAACUGAAAGUCACCAUUAACAGAACAUAAUUCAACCAUAUAAACUUCAAAAACAACAUAAAAACCUAACCUUGAUUAAAACUGGAAACAUGGUAGCAAACAAAAACAAAAUCCUAAUCUUGAAAUUCUAAUAAAAAAUCCAGUAUCUCACUAAUCCUUCAAUAAGGUCUAGUUUCAUGAAAUUCUCUUAUAAACUUAGCAUUAUUCUUAAUCAUUAAACCAAAAGCACUAAACAAACACACUUAAUUUCACUAACACUUCAUGUAAACACUCUACAAACAUGGCAACAGAAUACAAUUAACUAAUUAAGUAUCAAAUUAUACCUCGGAGCCACUAAUCUGAUGCUGAACAACCGAAAUAGACCGCCUAUUCCUCAAUCACUAUCCGAAACAACCCUUGCUGCACUACCAACAUCAUCACCGUAAUUUCUCUUAGACACAGACCUCCCACGCCUCUUAGAACAAAUUCACACUAUCACCACCACCAGAAACAACAACCGAAUUACCACCAUUCAGACACCUCGAAACGGACCUCGGAUAAAUGGCUUAAUAUGUUAUAUUGAUUUAAGCUUCCUUUUCUCCGAUUGGCAUAUGCUCAUUUAGACCUUGUUAUAUCGCAUCGAAUAAAUGGCUUAUUAUAUUGAAUUUUGGAGACUGGGUAGCUUUGUUGAAACACAGAACAUGGUUGGGGAAGGAGAAAUGGAGGGGGUAAAGAAGUGA
This 794-nucleotide long non-coding RNA is filed under the name Helianthus annuus (common sunflower). RNAcentral's name for it is "hypothetical non coding rna". Lineage: Eukaryota; Viridiplantae; Streptophyta; Magnoliopsida; Asterales; Asteraceae. The record is from RNAcentral.